ACGGGCCGAUCUUGGCAGCACCGGGCCGCCGCAGGGAACAGGCUGCAACCACCAGGGAGACCGUGCGGGCGUGCGAAUGACCCGGAUGUACCGGGGGCAGCAAGCAGCUCCUGGGCCGUGCAGCAGUAAGGCUUACUGGAGAAAUGCAGCACAAUUCAAUACAAACUUCAUCAAACCAAAGGAGCCAGUGGGAACAGGAGCCACAGUGAUGUAUUAAACACAUGGCCGAUCCUACAAGGAUUCUUCAGCAUCUCUUGGGUGGAAAGAUCCUAGAAGGAAAAUCCAUUACGUGCUCCUUACCAAGCAAUGUAAGGAUCUUGUCUAAAGAAACAUACUCUAGACCGUAUCAGCAACGUUUUAAAAGGUGCUUACUGGUCACGAGCCUGAUCCUGUUUCUACUGGACCCAGCGAACUCGUUGGCAUGCCUGUUUGAGUAACACACCCCAGAGCUGUGAUUACUUCUCUCCUCUGAAACUGGAGAAUCUGCAUAAUAGACAUUUUACUGUUUCCACUGCACAACUACCUACUUGAAAGGCUUCUUGCACCUUCCUCUAUAAAACCUGGUACUGGCCACUCAUAAAUAGCAGACCAGAGGGACUAUCCAGUCCAAACCAACAUGGUAAUCAAAUCCCAGAUCCCUUCAGAAUUUAUUUCCUCUUAGAACAAAAAAAAUACAGGGUUAGUGAUCCUGCUGUGAUGAAAGCAGAUACCAUUUGAUGUUUCCUAUUCCUAUCAGGCAACUGAUGACAUGGCAAACACAAGCCCUAUUCCUCUUGUCUUUUUAAAAAGGGACUUUAAAAGAAUGAUCCAUUUAUAGAUAACAGCUCAUUUAUUCACUGGACAAGCUGGGAAUCAGAAUAUGAAGUUCUAACCACAAACCAGGCAAAUCAACUAGCUAUAAUUAUUUUGUUAAUAUCCUCUGUAUUUCACAACCAUUCCUUUUGAAAUGCACUGUAGCUUCUUCCUUAAGAAAGAGAGGUGGCUUUUGCAUACAGAAGUCGUGCUUGCAGCUCACACCCUGCUGCUGUCCCUUCUCAGACAGGGAAGUACAAAGCCUCAAAAGCAGAAGUGCUUUUCUUCUCACAGGCCAGUCCAAUACAUUUUUGGCUCUCAGGCUGAACUUCUAGAUGGGUUAGCCAAUAACAGGUGCAAGAUUUGCAUUAAUAAUAACAAAGAUUGAAAGGUCUCAAACCCGGCAUCUGCUGUAACAUAAGGGGAUAAUCUGCUUUUAUUCAAAGGAAAUUUAUCCAGAUCAGUCAGUAAUAAAAUGGCCCUCCAACAUCAUGUCAGUCACUUCAGUCUGAUACUUGGAGAAUCACAAACAGCCUCCGAGGAGCAUGCACACACCCAUGCAUGCAUGAUGAAACAUUAGCCUGCAACUCCUACCAACUGACAAAUGGCAAUCUUUUGAAUCAUCAAUUAAUAAUCGCUGGGUUUCAAACUGGGACUUACUGGAAAUCGCAGUGACUGAAACUAGGAACAUUAUCCACUCACUGGUGUUUCCUUGGGACUGACAUUUGCUGUGAUUAUCUUUAUUUGCAAGGGAAGAACAUGAAUAGUACACAAGAGAUACUAGAGCUAUGUAAUGCUAAUAUUCCAGAGUUCUAACCUUAUUACUUUUCAUCUUCAAUUCACUUUACAAACAUUAACUAGCUGAUCUCCACAACCACAUCUGUCCGGUAGGUAAACAGAAUUAAUCCCAUUUUACAAGUGGGGAAACUGAGGCAGACAAGCCAAGUGACAUUAAGGUCACAGAGGGAGUCAUUAUCAAGGUUUAAAAGCAUAACUCAAAUUCCUGCCUCCCAAUCCUAUGCUUAGACCACUAGGACAUCUUCCCCAUAGAAGACUAUGCCUCUUUAAGUCCUAUUUCCACUGAAGGUCAUUUUAGUCCGAUUCUUCUGUCAUGUCCUUUGGUGUAAGUCAGGGUAAUUCCACUGACUUCAGUGGAAACACAUUAGUGUAAAACAGGUGUAAGAGGAGAAUCAGGCCCCAGGGAUCUGCAAAUGGAUGGGUCCAGCCACUCCCUUCUUUGUAAUUUACUUAUUUGAGCCAUGAGCAGGCCCCAUCAAAUCCACUCUAGUGCCAAUGGCUGAGCUUUCCAUUCUUUGUACCUUAUUUUAUUGCUUGAUCAACAAGCUAAGGAUUGUGGGCUAUUGAUUUGUAUGGUUAUUUUAAGCCCAAGGCAGGGAGAAGAAAAUCCCUUUAUUGUAAACAAACCUUUUGAUUGAUUAUUUGCGUAUUUAUGAACUUGCU
Mauremys mutica (yellowpond turtle) is the source of this 2253-nucleotide long non-coding RNA. RefSeq lists it as uncharacterized. The transcript has 4 exons. The record is from RefSeq and is a predicted model, not a curated record. NCBI's taxonomy places the organism in Eukaryota, Metazoa, Chordata, Testudines, Geoemydidae.